Molecule: ribosomal RNA, 837 nt
Filed under: Arcopilus aureus
Lineage: Eukaryota; Fungi; Ascomycota; Sordariomycetes; Sordariales; Chaetomiaceae
Also listed under: 1 other name
Description: partial large subunit ribosomal RNA
Rfam family: Eukaryotic large subunit ribosomal RNA
Source: RNAcentral
ACAGGGAUUGCCCUAGUAACGGCGAGUGAAGCGGCAACAGCUCAAAUUUGAAAUCUGGCUUCGGCCCGAGUUGUAAUUUGCAGAGGAAGCUUUAGGCGCGGCACUUUCUGAGUCCCCUGGAACGGGGCGCCAUAGAGGGUGAGAGCCCCGUAUAGUUAGAUGCCUAGCCUGUGUAAAGCUCCUUCGACGAGUCGAGUAGUUUGGGAAUGCUGCUCAAAAUGGGAGGUAAAUUUCUUCUAAAGCUAAAUACCGGCCAGAGACCGAUAGCGCACAAGUAGAGUGAUCGAAAGAUGAAAAGCACUUUGAAAAGAGGGUUAAAUAGCACGUGAAAUUGUUGAAAGGGAAGCGCUUGUGACCAGACUUGCGCCGGGCAGAUCAUCCGGUGUUCUCACCGGUGCACUCUGCCCGGCUCAGGCCAGCAUCGGUUCUCGCGGGGGGAUAAAGGCCCUGGGAACGUAGCUCCUCCGGGAGUGUUAUAGCCCGGGGCGUAAUGCCCUCGCGGGGACCGAGGUUCGCGCAUCUGCAAGGAUGCUGGCGUAAUGGUCAUCAGCGACCCGUCUUGAAACACGGACCAAGGAGUCAAGGUUUUGCGCGAGUGUUUGGGUGUAAAACCCGCACGCGUAAUGAAAGUGAACGUAGGUGAGAGCUUCGGCGCAUCAUCGACCGAUCCUGAUGUUUUCGGAUGGAUUUGAGUAGGAGCGUUAAGCCUUGGACCCGAAAGAUGGUGAACUAUGCUUGGAUAGGGUGAAGCCAGAGGAAACUCUGGUGGAGGCUCGCAGCGGUUCUGACGUGCAAAUCGAUCGUCAAAUCUGAGCAUGGGGGCGAAAGACUAAUCGA